UACGUAGGGGGCAAGCGUUGUCCGGAAUUAUUGGGCGUAAAGCGCACGUAGGCGGUUUGUUAUGUCGGAUGUGAAAGCCCUUGGCUUAACUGAGGAAGUGCAUCCGAAACUGGCAAGCUAGAGUACUAAAGAGGGUCGCGGAAUUCCCGGUGUAGAGGUGAAAUUCGUAGAUAUCGGGAGGAACACCGGUGGCGAAGGCGGCGACCUGGGUAGAUACUGACGCUGAGGAGCGAAAGCGUGGGGAGCGAACAGG
This 253-nucleotide ribosomal RNA is filed under the name uncultured bacterium. RNAcentral's name for it is "partial 16S ribosomal RNA". It matches the Rfam family "Bacterial small subunit ribosomal RNA", at positions 524 to 776 of the family's 1533-position model. The record is from RNAcentral.